AUUUGCCAACGUUCUAGAAUUACUGCCGUAUGUUGAGAAAUAAAUGAAAUAAUUCAGAAUACUACACCAGGAGUAGGUCUAUAAUUUAGCCAAGAGGAUCAAUAGCUUUUUUAUUUUUUAUAGCCUAGCUGUGGAUUGUGUGUAGUCCAAUCACAAGGCAUUGCCUACAGUCGGGAAUGAGUGGCAAAUCUGUCAGUGAACAGCAUGCAUUUGCAAUAUUUAAAAUGUCCAGGAAUGUCCACCAGAGCUGUUACCAGAGAAUUGAAUGUUAACUUCUCUACCAUAAUGUCAUUAUAGAGAAUUUUGCAGUACAUCCAACUGGCCUCACAACCGCAGACCGCGUAUACUCAGGGCUCCCGAGUGGCGCAGCGGUCUAAGGCACUGCAUCUCAGUGCUAGAGGCGUCACUACAGACCCUGGUUCAAUUCCAGGAUUUAUCACAACCGGCCGUGAUUGGGAGUCCCAUAGGGCGGCGCACAAUUGGCCCAGUGUCUUCUGGGUUAGGGUUUGACCGGGAUAGGCCAUCAUUGUAAAUAAGAAUUUGUUCUUAUUAAUUGAUUUGCCUAGUUAAAUAAAGGUAAAAUACAAUUAAAAUAACCACAUCAGCCCAGGACCUCCACAUCUGGCUUCUCCACCUGCGGGAUCGUCUGAGACCAGCCACCCAGACAGCUGAGGAAACGGAUUAGUAUUUAUGUCUGUAAUAAAUCCUGUUUGCCGGGCCUGGCUCCCAAGUGGAUGGACCUAUGUCCAUCCACGGCUGAACCCCUGCCCAGUCAUAUAAAAUCCAUAGAUUAGGGCCUAAUGAUUAUAUUUCAAUUUACUAAUUUCCUUAUGACCUGUAAUUCAGUAAAAUCAGUGAAAUUGUUGCAUGUUGCAUUUAUAUUUCUGUUCAGUAUAGAAUUGUGGGAUAGCGCAGUGUCAUGACGUUGGCCUGGGGGUAGGUUUAUGACAGUCAUAAAUACCUCUCCCCCUCUUUUUCCUCGAUCUACCCUACUGAUGUGACAUUUGAAAAUCCUUUGGUUAACAUAGAGAUUCUG
Oncorhynchus tshawytscha (Chinook salmon) is the source of this 1036-nucleotide long non-coding RNA. The record is from Ensembl. Lineage: Eukaryota; Metazoa; Chordata; Actinopteri; Salmoniformes; Salmonidae.